UACAAUGCUGGCAACAGCGAUAAGGGAACCUCGCGUGCCAGGUUACAAAUCUGGCUGUCGAGAUGCCUAAAAAGCAUUUCAUAGCAAGGGCCGGGCAAGACCGGUGCCAGCCGCCGCGGUAACACCGGCGGCUCGAGUUGUAACCGUUAUUAUUGGGUCUAAAGGGUCUGUAGCCGGCCGGAUAAGUCUCUUGAGCAAUCUGGCAGCUUAACUGUGAGGCUUUCAGGAGAUACUGUCUGGCUCGAGGCCGGGAGAGGUGAGAGGUACUUCAGGGGUAGGGGUGAAAUCUUGUAAUCCUCGAAGGACCACCAGUGGCGAAGGCGUCUCACCAGAACGGACCUGACGGCAAGGGACGAAAGCUAGGGGCACGAACCG
RNAcentral lists this ribosomal RNA (375 nucleotides) under uncultured bacterium. RNAcentral's name for it is "bacterial SSU rRNA". It matches the Rfam family "Archaeal small subunit ribosomal RNA", at positions 351 to 726 of the family's 1478-position model. The record is from RNAcentral.